UAAGGCCCUUGCAAAAUCCGAAGAGGCUCCUCAGAAACUAGCUGUCACGACAUCUGGUGAACAACUUAGCAGCGCAGAAAUGCAGCUACGCAUCAAGCUACUUCGAGAAAACAAAUGAGUAGGUGAAAUAUUAUCGUUUUAUGUGGUUCUAUAAUUCUUUGCUCUACAUGUUUGUUGAAGUGAGUUGCAGAGAUUGCAUAAGCAAUUUGUGCUCAGUGGUAUCUUGACAGAAGAGGAGUUUUGGUGUUAAGGAAGGCUGAUUCUAACUUACUUGGUAAAGAUCCUAGCAAAAAGUCGAGGCAACAGGUUGGACUGAAGAAUGUGAUGGGUCUCAGGCAUCAAACCGUCUAGUGAUGGACGGACUAAUAGGGUCACAUUUAACUUAACGCCGGAGAUUA
This is a long non-coding RNA of Tarenaya hassleriana, 398 nucleotides long. RefSeq lists it as uncharacterized. The transcript is spliced from 3 exons. Lineage: Eukaryota; Viridiplantae; Streptophyta; Magnoliopsida; Brassicales; Cleomaceae. The record is from RefSeq and is a predicted model, not a curated record.